RNAcentral lists this long non-coding RNA (335 nucleotides) under Carica papaya (papaya). RNAcentral describes it as "long non-coding RNA (CPAP_LNC003793)". The record is from RNAcentral. Lineage: Eukaryota; Viridiplantae; Streptophyta; Magnoliopsida; Brassicales; Caricaceae.
UCAGGUCUGUUUGCUGGAGGAGGAAGAUCGUGUGUAGGGUAACUGGAAGUCAUAUAGGAAGAACAUGAUGGUGGAAUGCUAACAUUAUCAUGGAACUGAGACGGUGGCAGAAUAUCUGCAGAAUACUCACUGCUAACAUUAUCAUGGAACUGAGACGGUGGCAGAAUAUCUGCAGAAUACUGGCUGUUAACAUUAGUGUGGAACUGAGAUGGUGGCAGAAUAUCUGUAGAGUGCUGUCUGUUAAUGUCAUCUUGGAACUGAUGUGGAGGCCGAAUUUCAGAAGAAUGCUGAUUAACUUUGUUAUGGAACUGAGGUGAUGGAUCAGGUUCUGUCCU